UACGUAGGGCGCAAGCGUUGUCCGGAAUUAUUGGGCGUAAAGAGCUCGUAGGCGGUUUGUCGCGUCUGCUGUGAAAACCUAAGGCUCAACCUUGGGCUUGCAGUGGGUACGGGCAGACUAGAGGUGCGGUAGGGGGUGACUGGAAUUCCUGGUGUAGCGGUGGAAUGCGCAGAUAUCAGGAGGAACACCGAUGGCGAAGGCAGG
RNAcentral lists this ribosomal RNA (204 nucleotides) under uncultured bacterium. RNAcentral describes it as "partial 16S ribosomal RNA". It matches the Rfam family "Bacterial small subunit ribosomal RNA", at positions 524 to 725 of the family's 1533-position model. The record is from RNAcentral.